RNAcentral lists this ribosomal RNA (368 nucleotides) under uncultured organism. RNAcentral describes it as "bacterial LSU rRNA". It matches the Rfam family "Bacterial large subunit ribosomal RNA", at positions 2099 to 2465 of the family's 2925-position model. The record is from RNAcentral.
CUUUACUGUAUCCUGGAAUUGGGUUCGGGCUUUGCUUGCGCAGAAUAGGUGGGAGGCGUGGAAGUUAUCCUUGUGGGGAUAAUGGAGCCAUCGGUGAGAUACCACUCUAGCAGAGCUAGAAUUCUAACUCUGACCCGUGAAUCCGGGUCGAAGACAGUUUCAGGGGGGCAGUUUGACUGGGGCGGUCGCCUCCUAAAAGGUAACGGAGGCGCGCAAAGGUCCCCUCAGAAUGGUUGGAAAUCAUUCGCAGAGUGUAAAGGCAUAAGGGAGCUUGACUGUGAGACCUACAAGUCGAGCAGGGUGGAAACACGGCCUUAGUGAUCCGACGGUACUGCGUGGAAAGGCCGUCGCUCAACGGAUAAAAGUUA